AUGGAGCAUCCGGCGCCGGCGCCGGAGCCGAUGCUGCUCGACGAGCAGCCCCCCACCGCAGUCGCCUGCGAGAAGAAGCAGCAGGAUGGCGAGGCGCCGUAUGCGGAGGGGAACGACGCCAUGACCGGUCACAUCAUCUCCACCACCAUCGGCGGCAAGAACGGCGAGCCCAAGCAGACGAUUAGCUACAUGGCGGAGCGCGUUGUGGGCACUGGUUCGUUUGGCAUCGUCUUUCAGGCUAAAUGCCUGGAGACCGGGGAGACAGUGGCCAUUAAGAAGGUACUGCAGGACCGACGGUACAAGAAUCGUGAGCUGCAGCUUAUGCGUUCGAUGAUCCAUUCCAAUGUUGUCUCCCUCAAGCACUGCUUCUUCUCAACCACAAGUAGAGAUGAGCUGUUUCUGAACCUUGUCAUGGAGUAUGUCCCGGAGACACUCUACCGCGUGCUUAAGCACUACAGUAAUGCCAAACAGGGGAUGCCACUUAUCUACGUCAAGCUUUACACCUAUCAGCUAUUCAGGGGGCUGGCGUACAUUCAUACUGUUCCAGGAGUCUGUCACAGGGAUGUGAAGCCACAAAAUGUUUUGGUUGAUCCUUUAACACAUCAAGUUAAGAUCUGCGACUUUGGAAGCGCGAAAGUUCUGGUGGCGGGUGAGCCCAAUAUAUCAUACAUAUGCUCACGCUACUACCGUGCUCCGGAGCUUAUAUUUGGUGCGACUGAAUAUACAACAUCGAUAGAUAUAUGGUCAGCUGGUUGUGUUCUUGCAGAACUGCUCCUUGGUCAGCCAUUAUUUCCAGGCGAGAGUGCAGUCGAUCAACUUGUAGAGAUAAUCAAGGUUCUUGGAACGCCAACUCGGGAGGAAAUACGUUGUAUGAACCCGAAUUAUACGGAGUUUAGGUUUCCACAGAUAAAAGCUCAUCCUUGGCACAAGGUUUUCCACAAGAAAAUGCCUCCUGAAGCCAUAGAUCUUGCUUCACGUCUUCUUCAAUAUUCACCAAGCCUCCGUUGCACUGCUCUUGACGCAUGUGCGCAUCCUUUCUUUGAUGAGCUAUGGGAGCCUAACGCGCGCCUGCCAAAUGGACGCCCGUUCCCACCUCUGUUCAACUUCAAGCAUGAACUGGCCAAUGCUUCACAAGACCUCAUCAACAGGCUUGUGCCUGAACAUGUUCGCCGACAAGCUGGUCUUGCUUUCGUGCAUGCGGGGAGCUAA
RNAcentral lists this ribosomal RNA (1209 nucleotides) under Triticum aestivum (bread wheat). RNAcentral's name for it is "partial small subunit ribosomal RNA". Lineage: Eukaryota; Viridiplantae; Streptophyta; Magnoliopsida; Poales; Poaceae. The record is from RNAcentral.